RNAcentral lists this ribosomal RNA (484 nucleotides) under Cassava witches'-broom aster yellows phytoplasma. Its description in RNAcentral is "bacterial SSU rRNA". It matches the Rfam family "Bacterial small subunit ribosomal RNA", at positions 748 to 1241 of the family's 1533-position model. The record is from RNAcentral. Lineage: Bacteria; Bacillati; Mycoplasmatota; Mollicutes; Acholeplasmatales; Acholeplasmataceae.
GAGGCACGAAAGCGUGGGGAGCAAACAGGAUUAGAUACCCUGGUAGUCCACGCCGUAAACGAUGAGUACUAAAUGUUGGGUAAAACCAGUGUUGAAGUUAACACAUUAAGUACUCCGCCUGAGUAGUACGUACGCAAGUAUGAAACUUAAAGGAAUUGACGGGACUCCGCACAAGCGGUGGAUCAUGUUGUUUAAUUCGAAGGUACCCGAAAAACCUCACCAGGUCUUGACAUGCUUCUGCAAAGCUGUAGAAACACAGUGGAGGUUAUCAGUUGCACAGGUGGUGCAUGGUUGUCGUCAGCUCGUGUCGUGAGAUGUUGGGUUAAGUCCCGCAACGAGCGCAACCCUUAUUGUUAGUUGCCAGCACGUAAUGGUGGGGACUUUAGCAAGACUGCCAGUGAUAAAUUGGAGGAAGGUGGGGACGACGUCAAAUCAUCAUGCCCCUUAUGACCUGGGCUACAAACGUGAUACAAUGGCUGUUACA